AUUUAAAUAGCUUAGAGAAUAAAGUGUAACAUUGAAGAUGUUAAGAUGAUAUAAAUAUCUUUAAAUA
This 67-nucleotide transfer RNA is filed under the name Pseudoglomeris angustifolia. Its description in RNAcentral is "tRNA-Phe". It matches the Rfam family "tRNA". Rfam says of the family: Transfer RNA (tRNA) molecules are approximately 80 nucleotides in length. Lineage: Eukaryota; Metazoa; Arthropoda; Insecta; Blattodea; Blaberidae. The record is from RNAcentral.